Gossypium arboreum is the source of this 417-nucleotide long non-coding RNA. RefSeq lists it as uncharacterized. The transcript has 2 exons. Lineage: Eukaryota; Viridiplantae; Streptophyta; Magnoliopsida; Malvales; Malvaceae. The record is from RefSeq and is a predicted model, not a curated record.
GAGGCACACUCGAAGGCCAUGCCUUCUCAACCCCAAAGAAAUCGAAAGAAAGGUCCUCCCUCCCCCUUUGGCUCGACUUCGGCGAUUGGAGAAGAGAUCUCCGGCGAUGAGUCCGUGGGAAGAUCAAGGUGGUUGUCAGAGACUGACGAAGAGGUGCGCGUGGUGGCCUUGCUGGUGAAGAGCGGCGGUUGAAGAGGGGGACUAGGGUUUGUUUGCUUGCUGAAAAUUUUUGAUAGCUAGUGGGCUAGGGUUAGUUGGUUUUGGGCUUUUGUAAUUGGGUCUGAUGGGUUUGGCUUAGUGGUUAGGUGGGUUAAGGUUUGUUUAGGCCUGGGCCAAAAUUGGGCUGUAUAUAUACAAUUGAAUAAAAAUAAAAGUUUCAUAUAUAUGAAUACAUGAUUUUAAAAUUUGCACAGUAAA